CCUACGGGUGGCUGCAGUGGGGAAUAUUGGACAAUGGGGGGAACCCUGAUCCAGCCAUGCCGCGUGUGUGAAGAAGGCCCUCGGGUUGUAAAGCACUUUCAGUGAGGAAGAACGCCUGGUGGUUAAUACCCAUCAGGAAAGACAUCACUCACAGAAGAAGCACCGGCUAACUCCGUGCCAGCAGCCGCGGUAAUACGGAGGGUGCGAGCGUUAAUCUGAAUUACUGGGCGUAAAGCGCGCGUAGGUGGCUUGAUAAGCCGGUUGUGAAAGCCCCGGGCUCAACCUGGGAACGGCAUCCGGAACUGUCAAGCUAGAGUGCAGGAGAGGAAGGUAGAAUUCCCGGUGUAGCGGUGAAAUGCGUAGAGAUCGGGAGGAAUACCAGUGGCGAAGGCGGCCUUCUGGACUGACACUGACACUGAGGUGCGAAAGCGUGGGUAGCAAACAGGAUUAGAUACCCUGGUAGUC
Molecule: ribosomal RNA, 465 nt
Filed under: Vreelandella stevensii
Lineage: Bacteria; Pseudomonadati; Pseudomonadota; Gammaproteobacteria; Oceanospirillales; Halomonadaceae
Description: partial 16S ribosomal RNA
Rfam family: Bacterial small subunit ribosomal RNA
Source: RNAcentral